This 253-nucleotide ribosomal RNA is filed under the name uncultured bacterium. RNAcentral describes it as "partial 16S ribosomal RNA". It matches the Rfam family "Bacterial small subunit ribosomal RNA", at positions 524 to 776 of the family's 1533-position model. The record is from RNAcentral.
UACGUAGGGGGCUAGCGUUGUCCGGAAUCAUUGGGCGUAAAGCGCGUGUAGGCGGCCCGAUAAGUCCGCUGUGAAAGUCGGGGGCUCAACCCUCGAAUGCCGGUGGAUACUGUCGGGCUAGAGUGCGGAAGAGGCGAGUGGAAUUUCUGGUGUAGCGGUGAAAUGCGUAGAUAUCGAGAGGAACACCUGCGGCGAAGGCGGGUAGCUGGGCCGACACUGACGCUGAUGCGCGAAAGCCAGGGGAGCGAACGGG